UGAGGCGGAGAUGUCGAGGAGGGUGGGCACGGUGCCGACGGUGGCGAGCAUGGAUAGCACAGCGGCGUUGUUGUUGUUGUGUUGGUCGGUGCCGACGACAGAGGAGAAGCAGAGGGAUUUGAUGAGGGCGGUGAGGACACUCAAGGAGGAGAAGGAGAAGAAGAAUGAUGAAUAAGAGGAAGGAAAAAAAUAGUGUAAAUUGAAGGAAGAAGAAGAAAAAAGAAAUAGUGCAACUUUAUCAUAAAGAGUGCAACUUCUACCUAAAUAGUGCAACUUCAUACUAAAGAGUGUAAAUCUGAUUUUAAAGACUGUAAUUUCUAUCUUAAAGAGUGCAACGUUUAUUUAAAAUUGUGCAAUUUUUUUUUAAAAUAGUGCAACAUUAUUUUAGCAGUGCAAUUUCAUUAUCUUUUUCCUUUUUAUAUGAUUUUUGAUCUUUUGUGGAGGGAAAAAAUAUUUUUUUUAUCUUUAUUUUUUUUCUUUAUAAUCUUGUGGUCACGAUCUCUCCCUUGCCCUCUAUCGCAGCCACUGCUCUCGCCGGAGUUUUCUCCCAUCCUCUCGCCGGUAUGCUUUUCGUC
Molecule: long non-coding RNA, 575 nt
Filed under: Ananas comosus (pineapple)
Lineage: Eukaryota; Viridiplantae; Streptophyta; Magnoliopsida; Poales; Bromeliaceae
Description: long non-coding RNA (ACOM_LNC043895)
Source: RNAcentral